GACGAACGCUGGCGGCGUGCUUAACACAUGCAAGUCGAGCGGUAAGGCCCUUUCGGGGGUACACGAGCGGCGAACGGGUGAGUAACACGUGGGUGACCUGCCCUCAGCUCUGGGAUAAGCCUGGGAAACCGGGUCUAAUACCGGAUAUGACUCCAUGACGCAUGUUGUGGGGUGGAAAGCCUUGUGCGGCUGAGGAUGGGCCCGCGGCCUAUCAGCUUGUUGGUGGGGUGAUGGCCUACCAAGGCGACGACGGGUAGCCGGCCUGAGAGGGCGACCGGCCACACUGGGACUGAGACACGGCCCAGACUCCUACGGGAGGCAGCAGUGGGGAAUAUUGGACAAUGGGCGCAAGCCUGAUCCAGCGAUGCCGCGUGUGUGAAGAAGGCC
RNAcentral lists this ribosomal RNA (387 nucleotides) under uncultured bacterium. Its description in RNAcentral is "bacterial SSU rRNA". It matches the Rfam family "Bacterial small subunit ribosomal RNA", at positions 28 to 416 of the family's 1533-position model. The record is from RNAcentral.